UCCGGUUGAUCCCGCCGGACCUGACUGCUAUCGGAUUGAUACUAAGCCAUGCGAGUCUUUGCAGUAAUGCAAGGCAUACGGCUCAGUAACACGUAGUCAACUUACCCUAUGGACGAGGAUAAUCUCGGGAAACUGAGCAUAAUACUCGAUAGAUCAUAAUGCCUGGAAUGGUUUAUGGUUGAAAUGAUUCGUCGCCAUAGGAUAGGACCGCGGCCUAUCAGCUUGUUGGUGAGGUAAUGGCCCACCAAGGCGAUUACAGGUACGGGCUCUGAGAGGAGAAGCCCGGAGAUGGGUACUGAGACAAUGACCCAGGCCCUAUGGGGCGCAGCAGGCGAGAAAACUUUGCAAUGUGCGAAAGCACGACAAGGUUAAUCCGAGUGAUUUCUGCUAAAGAAAUCUUUUGCAAGUCAUAAAACCACUAGUGAAUAAGGGGUGGGCAAGUUCUGGUGUCAGCCGCCGCGGUAAAACCAGCACCUCAAGUGGUCAGGAGGAUUAUUGGGCCUAAAGCAUCCGUAGCCGGCUCUGUAAGUUUUCGGUUAAAUCCAUGUGCUCAACGCAUGGGCUGUCGAAAAUACUGCAUAGCUAGGGAGUGGGAGAGGUAGACGGUACUCGGUAGGAAGGGGUAAAAUCCUUUGAUCUAUCGAUGACCACCUGUGGCGAAGGCGGUCUACCAGAACACGUUCGACGGUGAGGGAUGAAAGCUGGGGGAGCAAACCGGAUUAGAUACCCGGGUAGUCCCAGCUGUAAACGAUGCAGACUCGAUGAUGCAUUGGCAUAUAGCCAGUGCAGUGUCGCAGGGAAGCCGUUAAGUCUGCCGCCUGGGAAGUACGUACGCAAGUAUGAAACUUAAAGGAAUUGGCGGGGGAGCACCACAAGGGGUGAAGCCUGCGGUUCAAUUGGAGUCAACGCCGGG
This 913-nucleotide ribosomal RNA is filed under the name uncultured archaeon. RNAcentral describes it as "bacterial SSU rRNA". It matches the Rfam family "Archaeal small subunit ribosomal RNA", at positions 1 to 922 of the family's 1478-position model. The record is from RNAcentral.